This 252-nucleotide ribosomal RNA is filed under the name uncultured bacterium. RNAcentral describes it as "partial 16S ribosomal RNA". It matches the Rfam family "Bacterial small subunit ribosomal RNA", at positions 524 to 776 of the family's 1533-position model. The record is from RNAcentral.
UACAGAGGUCCCAAGCGUUGUUCGGAUUUACUGGGCGUAAAGGGUGCGUAGGUGGCGGGGUAAGUCUGGUGUGAAAGCUCCGAGCUCAACUCGGAAAAGCAUUGGAAACUAUCCCGAUGGAGGGUCGGAGGGGAGACUGGAAUUCUCGGUGUAGCAGUGAAAUGCGUAGAUAUCGAGAGGAACACCAGUGGCGAAGGCGAGUCUCUGGACGACUCCUGACACUGAGGCACGAAAGCUAGGGGAGCAAACAGG